UUGCCCUUAUACUCAUCAUCAAGCAUCCACACAUUUAAAUCAACCAACUCUCACAUUCAUUAAGCAUAAAACAUCAACUGAAUUUUUGCAAAUGGUCAAUUGGUCCAAAUCAUUUGGUUGAGUAAGGGAAGGCUUUUAUUCAAGUGGGUCAAGAGGUUCGAAAUCCAUGAUCUUUUAAAGUGGUUUACUCUCGAAACGAGUAGCCUUGACAUUGCACAUAAUAUAUCUAAGAAAGGGACCAACUCAUGCAUACAAUGCUCAAUCUCCAUUGUUCUACCCUUUUCCCAAAUAUACAAGUUACACAAUCACUUCAUAAUGUCGAACCCAACUCUCAUCUCUCACCAAAAGACCCCAAGAACACUUUGCACAUAAAACUC
This 377-nucleotide long non-coding RNA is filed under the name Brassica napus (rape). Its description in RNAcentral is "long non-coding RNA (BNAP_LNC013541)". Lineage: Eukaryota; Viridiplantae; Streptophyta; Magnoliopsida; Brassicales; Brassicaceae. The record is from RNAcentral.